This 80-nucleotide transfer RNA is filed under the name Deltaproteobacteria bacterium. Its description in RNAcentral is "tRNA-His". RNAcentral also lists the same sequence under 1 other name. The record is from RNAcentral. Lineage: Bacteria; Pseudomonadati; Myxococcota; Myxococcia.
GGGGAGAAAAAGAGAGGUAAGUUGCUGCCUCUGGGUUGUGGCCCCAGAGGUCGUGGGUUCAAAUCCCAUCACUCACCCCA